AUAGGCCGUCGCCCCCGCGAAGGCGGGGGCCGCUAUCGGCGUAGCGUAAGGUUGCCAGCGGCCCCCGCCUUCGCGGGGGCGACGGUUUUA
Molecule: small RNA, 90 nt
Filed under: Sphingopyxis italica
Lineage: Bacteria; Pseudomonadati; Pseudomonadota; Alphaproteobacteria; Sphingomonadales; Sphingopyxidaceae
Description: microRNA MIR1846
Source: RNAcentral